Long non-coding RNA from Ictalurus punctatus (channel catfish), 539 nucleotides. The record is from Ensembl. NCBI's taxonomy places the organism in Eukaryota, Metazoa, Chordata, Actinopteri, Siluriformes, Ictaluridae.
GUUUGACGUUUAAUAGGUAGUGAGGUAGAAAGAUUAAUAGGUAGUGAGUUUAAUAAAUAGUGAGGUAGCGAGUUUAAUUGAUAGUGAGGUAGCGAGUUUAAUAGAUAGUUAUGUAGCGAGUUUAAUGGGUAGUGAGGUAGCGAGUUUAAUUGAUAGUGAGGUAGUGAGUUUAAUAGGUAGUGAGGUACCGAGUUUAAUUGGUAGUAAGGUAGCAAGUUUAAUAGAUAGUGAGGUAGCGAGUUUAAUAAUUAGUGAGGUAGCGAGUUUAAUAGAUAGUGAGGUAGUGAGUUUAAUUGAUAUUGAGGUAGCGAGUUUAAUAGAUAGUUAGGUAGCGAAUUUAAUAAUUAGUGAGGUAGCGAGUUUAAUAUGUAGUGAGGUAGCGAGUUUAAUAAUUAGUUAGGUAGCGAGUUUAAUAGGUAUUGAGGUAGUGACUAAUGUUAGUCUAUUUACUGUUUACACAGUGGAUUGACAACUUUCCUGUGAUUCAGCUGCCUCAUGCCUUCACUGAAAUUGUACCAAAUAUGUUGUGUCAUAAUUUG